UACGUAGGUCCCGAGCGUUGUCCGGAUUUAUUGGGCGUAAAGCGAGCGCAGGUGGUUUAUUAAGUCUGGUGUAAAAGGCAGUGGCUCAACCAUUGUAUGCAUUGGAAACUGGUAGACUUGAGUGCAGGAGAGGAGAGUGGAAUUCCAUGUGUAGCGGUGAAAUGCGUAGAUAUAUGGAGGGACACCGGUGGCGAAAGCGGCUCUCUGGCCUGUAACUGACACUGAGGCUCGAAAGCGUGGGGAGCAAACAGG
Molecule: ribosomal RNA, 252 nt
Filed under: uncultured bacterium
Lineage: Bacteria
Description: partial 16S ribosomal RNA
Rfam family: Bacterial small subunit ribosomal RNA
Source: RNAcentral